GGGGUUGUGGCUCAGAGGUAGAGCACUCGCCUAGCAUGUGUGAGGCACAAGAUUCGAUCCUCAGCACCA
Molecule: transfer RNA, 69 nt
Filed under: Marmota marmota marmota (Alpine marmot)
Lineage: Eukaryota; Metazoa; Chordata; Mammalia; Rodentia; Sciuridae
Also listed under: 1 other name
Rfam family: tRNA
About the family: Transfer RNA (tRNA) molecules are approximately 80 nucleotides in length.
Source: Rfam by way of RNAcentral